This 1933-nucleotide ribosomal RNA is filed under the name Salmonella enterica. RNAcentral describes it as "partial 23S ribosomal RNA". It matches the Rfam family "Bacterial large subunit ribosomal RNA", at positions 911 to 2824 of the family's 2925-position model. The record is from RNAcentral. Lineage: Bacteria; Pseudomonadati; Pseudomonadota; Gammaproteobacteria; Enterobacterales; Enterobacteriaceae.
UGUUUCGGCUAGGGGGCCAUCCCGGCUUACCAACCCGAUGCAAACUGCGAAUACCGGAGAAUGUUAUCACGGGAGACACACGGCGGGUGCUAACGUCCGUCGUGAAGAGGGAAACAACCCAGACCGCCAGCUAAGGUCCCAAAGUCAUGGUUAAGUGGGAAACGAUGUGGGAAGGCCCAGACAGCCAGGAUGUUGGCUUAGAAGCAGCCAUCAUUUAAAGAAAGCGUAAUAGCUCACUGGUCGAGUCGGCCUGCGCGGAAGAUGUAACGGGGCUAAACCAUGCACCGAAGCUGCGGCAGCGACACUUUAGUGUUGUUGGGUAGGGGAGCGUUCUGUAAGCCGUUGAAGGUGUCCUGUGAGGGGUGCUGGAGGUAUCAGAAGUGCGAAUGCUGACAUAAGUAACGAUAAAGCGGGUGAAAAGCCCGCUCGCCGGAAGACCAAGGGUUCCUGUCCAACGUUAAUCGGGGCAGGGUGAGUCGACCCCUAAGGCGAGGCCGAAAGGCGUAGUCGAUGGGAAACGGGUUAAUAUUCCCGUACUUGGUGUUACUGCGAAGGGGGGACGGAGAAGGCUAUGUUGGCCGGGCGACGGUUGUCCCGGUUUAAGCGUGUAGGUGUGUGUUCCAGGUAAAUCCGGUUCACUUUAACACUGAGGCGUGAUGACGAGGCACCACGGUGCUGAAGCAACAAAUGCCCUGCUUCCAGGAAAAGCCUCUAAGCAUCAGGUAACAUCAAAUCGUACCCCAAACCGACACAGGUGGUCAGGUAGAGAAUACCAAGGCGCUUGAGAGAACUCGGGUGAAGGAACUAGGCAAAAUGGUGCCGUAACUUCGGGAGAAGGCACGCUGACACGUAGGUGAAGUGAUUUACUCAUGGAGCUGAAGUCAGUCGAAGAUACCAGCUGGCUGCAACUGUUUAUUAAAAACACAGCACUGUGCAAACACGAAAGUGGACGUAUACGGUGUGACGCCUGCCCGGUGCCGGAAGGUUAAUUGAUGGGGUCAGCGCAAGCGAAGCUCCUGAUCGAAGCCCCGGUAAACGGCGGCCGUAACUAUAACGGUCCUAAGGUAGCGAAAUUCCUUGUCGGGUAAGUUCCGACCUGCACGAAUGGCGUAAUGAUGGCCAGGCUGUCUCCACCCGAGACUCAGUGAAAUUGAACUCGCUGUGAAGAUGCAGUGUACCCGCGGCAAGACGGAAAGACCCCGUGAACCUUUACUAUAGCUUGACACUGAACAUUGAGCCUUGAUGUGUAGGAUAGGUGGGAGGCUUUGAAGCGUGGACGCCAGUCUGCGUGGAGCCGACCUUGAAAUACCACCCUUUAAUGUUUGAUGUUCUAACGUGGACCCGUAAUCCGGGUUGCGGACAGUGUCUGGUGGGUAGUUUGACUGGGGCGGUCUCCUCCUAAAGAGUAACGGAGGAGCACGAAGGUUGGCUAAUCCUGGUCGGACAUCAGGAGGUUAGUGCAAUGGCAUAAGCCAGCUUGACUGCGAGCGUGACGGCGCGAGCAGGUGCGAAAGCAGGUCAUAGUGAUCCGGUGGUUCUGAAUGGAAGGGCCAUCGCUCAACGGAUAAAAGGUACUCCGGGGAUAACAGGCUGAUACCGCCCAAGAGUUCAUAUCGACGGCGGUGUUUGGCACCUCGAUGUCGGCUCAUCACAUCCUGGGGCUGAAGUAGGUCCCAAGGGUAUGGCUGUUCGCCAUUUAAAGUGGUACGCGAGCUGGGUUUAGAACGUCGUGAGACAGUUCGGUCCCUAUCUGCCGUGGGCGCUGGAAGACUGAGGGGGGCUGCUCCUAGUACGAGAGGACCGGAGUGGACGCAUCACUGGUGUUCGGGUUGUCAUGCCAAUGGCACUGCCCGGUAGCUAAAUGCGGAAAAGAUAAGUGCUGAAAGCAUCUAAGCACGAAACUUGCCCCGAGAUGAGUCUUCCCUGAGACCUU